RNAcentral lists this ribosomal RNA (483 nucleotides) under uncultured bacterium. Its description in RNAcentral is "partial 16S ribosomal RNA". It matches the Rfam family "Bacterial small subunit ribosomal RNA", at positions 28 to 507 of the family's 1533-position model. The record is from RNAcentral.
GACGAACGCUGGCGGCGUGCUUAACACAUGCAAGUCGAACGCUGAAGCUCAGCUUUUGUUGGGUGGAUGAGUGGCGAACGGGUGAGUAACACGUGAGUAACCUGCCUCCUUCUUUGGGAUAACGCCCGGAAACGGGUGCUAAUACUGGAUAUUCACUGGUCUUCGCAUGGGGGUUGGUGGAAAGGGUUUUUCUGGUGGGGGAUGGGCUCGCGGCCUAUCAGCUUGUUGGUGGGGUGAUGGCCUACCAAGGCUUUGACGGGUAGCCGGCCUGAGAGGGUGACCGGUCACAUUGGGACUGAGAUACGGCCCAGACUCCUACGGGAGGCAGCAGUGGGGAAUAUGGCACAAUGGGCGCAAGCCUGAUGCAGCGACGCCGCGUGAGGGAUGGAGGCCUUCGGGUUGUGAACCUCUUUCGCUCAUGGUCAAGCCGCAACAAUGGUUGUGGUGAGGGUAGUGGGUAAAGAAGCGCCGGCUAACUACGUG